RNAcentral lists this long non-coding RNA (1340 nucleotides) under Arabidopsis lyrata. Its description in RNAcentral is "long non-coding RNA (ALYR_LNC000912)". The record is from RNAcentral. Lineage: Eukaryota; Viridiplantae; Streptophyta; Magnoliopsida; Brassicales; Brassicaceae.
UAUAAAAUUCCAUACCCAAAAUACAAUAUGACUCCACCACAUAAACCAUAUAUUGUUAACAAAUUUUUGUUUCCACGUCCAAUACCAAUAUAGCAAAAUUAAAUGAAACCGGUACCAUCUGGUCAUAGACCCCGAAACAGAAGUUUUAUACAAACAAGAUAAAAGACCGAUCCUUUCAUCUAUUAAUAUGACAAUAACCCAAAUGAAAUCGAAAACACAUAAGAUUUGAGAAUUAUUGAUUCCAACAUAAUGAGAACAAAUAAAAACCUGAAAAUCACUUUGAGACAACCGUAUGAAUCUUGUACUCAAAAACUCCAAAUCAAAUCCGAGAUUAAUACCAUCUGACAACUCCGUAAUCAGCCCAAGAUCUACCAAAUCAACUCGAAAAACAGAGAUCAACCGAAUAGAGAUCCAUUUGGAACCAAAGAUUAACCGUAAGGAGACAAUCAAAUUGAAUCCGCUCACCAAUCUAAGAAACAACCUUAUUAAUCCAUUCCAAAAACCAGAAAAAACCGAAAUCCACCUGCUCAUGAAGCCUGAAAAUUUCAAUACAACAUCAAUCGUGAAGCCUGAAAUUUUCAAGACCACAAAUCGCAGCUCCCAUUGAUCUUUGUUCUCUGCCUCCGUAAGUAAUACUCUCGAAUCCGCCAUUGCAAACAGAAACAAAUCAAUCAAACCAUUAUUAAGAUACACGAACGCAUACCCGUAUACCUUCAAAUCCCUCCUCGGAGCAAGAUCCAGUCUUGUUACCUUGAAUCCGAUUUGAAAAUCUCUCAAAACCUCCGCUGCUUCCUUAGACCAGAUCCAAUUAACCCGAAAAUCCUUCCUCAGCCCUCGUAGAAGAUCAUCAAACCUCUCCGAGAUCAACCCAAUAACCCUAAAAACCAACCGAAAACCAUAGAUCCACGCACUGGAGUUCCAUUUCAAAUCGUUAAUUAACCAAGUCAGGAAUCUCCGAUCAAAAUCCCUCAUGGUCGGGUGCUAAAACCCUUCUAAAAUAAACCAUAAGGAUCAUAGUUCAUACUCGUUAUGCUAUUCUUAAUUUUAUUUGUGACGAAUGAAUUGACGAUGAUGCAGGUCAUAUGGGUCGGUGGUGGUUCCGUUACGGAGACGUUGACGGUGCGUUAUUGGCGUCAAUAUGAAGUAUCUCUCUCAUUCAACAAAAAACAGAAAAAGCAUUAACUUUCCCCAAAUAUGGAAAGCAAGAAAUCAUGGGAAAAUCUUUUCUUCUUCCCCAAAUAUAUUUGAACUUGUCUCAUAAUCACAAGAUUCCGAUAUGUGUACAAAUAAAUAAAUAAACAAAUUUAAUUCAUUCAUGAUUUUUUUUUAAAGGUGUAUAG